This 224-nucleotide long non-coding RNA is filed under the name Gossypium barbadense (sea-island cotton). RNAcentral's name for it is "long non-coding RNA (GBAR_LNC021052)". Lineage: Eukaryota; Viridiplantae; Streptophyta; Magnoliopsida; Malvales; Malvaceae. The record is from RNAcentral.
AUUCUUCCAAUUCAGCUAACUGAAGUUUUCGUUUGUCUCCAGCAAGAUUCAUGUUCAUUGAGUUGCUUUAGAGCCUAGUAAACUCUAUGUUCAAGCUCCAAAGGAAGAUGGUAGGGUUUUCCAAACACUAAACGGUAUGAAGAUAUCCCCAACAGAGUUUUAAAGGUCAUUCGAUAAGCCCAUAGCGCACCGUCGAGUUUCCUUGACCAAUUUUUUUGUUAGGU